RNAcentral lists this ribosomal RNA (488 nucleotides) under uncultured bacterium. Its description in RNAcentral is "partial 16S ribosomal RNA". It matches the Rfam family "Bacterial small subunit ribosomal RNA", at positions 28 to 507 of the family's 1533-position model. The record is from RNAcentral.
GACGAACGCUGGCGGCGUGCUUAACACAUGCAAGUCGAACGGAAAGGCCCUGCUUUUGUGGGGUGCUCGAGUGGCGAACGGGUGAGUAACACGUGAGUAAACUGCCCUUGACUUUGGGAUAACUUCAGGAAACUGGGGCUAAUACCGGAUAGGAGAUCCUGCUGCAUGGUGGGGGUUGGAAAGUUUCGGAGGUUGGGGAUGGACUCGCGGCUUAUCAGCUUGUUGGUGGGGUAGUGGCUUACCAAGGCUUUGACGGGUAGCCGGCCUGAGAGGGUGACCGGCCACAUUGGAACUGAGACACGGUCCAGACUCCUACGGGAGGCAGCAGUAGGGAAUCUUCCGCAAUGGGCGAAAGCCUGACGGAGCAACGCCGCGUGAGUGAUGAAGGUCUUCGGAUCGUAAAACUCUGUUAUUAGGGAAGAACAUAUGUGUAAGUAACUGUGCACAUCUUGACGGUACCUAAUCAGAAAGCCACGGCUAACUACGUG